RNAcentral lists this ribosomal RNA (394 nucleotides) under uncultured bacterium. Its description in RNAcentral is "partial 16S ribosomal RNA". It matches the Rfam family "Bacterial small subunit ribosomal RNA", at positions 523 to 918 of the family's 1533-position model. The record is from RNAcentral.
AUACGUAGGGAGCGAGCGUUGUCCGGAAUUACUGGGCGUAAAGGGCGCGUAGGCGGCGCUUCAAGUCGUCUGUCAAAUGGAAGGGCUUAACCCUUUUUCGCAGACGAAACUGGAGAGCUUGAGAAGCAGAGAGGCAAACGGAAUUCCUGGUGUAGCGGUGAAAUGCGUAGAUAUCAGGAAGAAUACCAGUGGCGAAGGCGGUUUGCUGGCUGCAUACUGACGCUGAAGCGCGAAAGCCAGGGGAGCGAACGGGAUUAGAUACCCCGGUAGUCCUGGCAGUAAACGAUGUAUGCUGGGUGUGAGACUAGCGAUAGUUUCGUGCCGAAGUUAACGCGAUAAGCAUACCGCCUGGGGAGUACGGUCGCAAGAUUGAAACUUAAAGGAAUUGACGGGG